GACGAACGCUGGCGGCGUGCCUAAUACAUGCAAGUUGAGCGAUGAAGUUUGGUGCUUGCACCAAUUUGAAGAGCAGCGAACGGGUGAGUAACGCGUGGGGAAUCUGCCUUUGAGCGGGGGACAACAUUUGGAAACGAAUGCUAAUACCGCAUAACAACUUUAAACAUAAGUUUUAAGUUUGAAAGAUGCAAUUGCAUCACUCAAAGAUGAUCCCGCGUUGUAUUAGCUAGUUGGUGAGGUAAAGGCUCACCAAGGCGAUGAUACAUAGCCGACCUGAGAGGGUGAUCGGCCACAUUGGGACUGAGACACGGCCCAAACUCCUACGGGAGGCAGCAGUAGGGAAUCUUCGGCAAUGGACGAAAGGCUGACCGAGCAACGCCGCGUGAGUGAAGAAGGGUUUCGGAUCGUAAAACUCUGUUGGUAGAGAAGAACGUUGGUGAGAGUGGAAAGCUCAUCAAGUGACGGUAACUACCCAGAAAGGGACGGCUAACUACGUG
RNAcentral lists this ribosomal RNA (497 nucleotides) under uncultured bacterium. Its description in RNAcentral is "partial 16S ribosomal RNA". It matches the Rfam family "Bacterial small subunit ribosomal RNA", at positions 28 to 507 of the family's 1533-position model. The record is from RNAcentral.